AGAGUUUGAUCCUGGCUCAGAUUGAACGCUGGCGGCAUGCCUUACACAUGCAAGUCGAACGGCAGCAUGAUCUAGCUUGCUAGAUUGAUGGCGAGUGGCGAACGGGUGAGUAAUACAUCGGAACGUGCCCUGUAGUGGGGGAUAACUAGUCGAAAGAUUAGCUAAUACCGCAUACGACCUGAGGGUGAAAGUGGGGGACCGCAAGGCCUCAUGCUAUAGGAGCGGCCGAUGUCUGAUUAGCUAGUUGGUGAGGUAAAGGCUCACCAAGGCGACGAUCAGUAGCUGGUCUGAGAGGACGAUCAGCCACACUGGGACUGAGACACGGCCCAGACUCCUACGGGAGGCAGCAGUGGGGAAUUUUGGACAAUGGGCGAAAGCCUGAUCCAGCAAUGCCGCGUGUGUGAAGAAGGCCUUCGGGUUGUAAAGCACUUUUGUCCGGAAAGAAAUGGCUCUGGUUAAUACCUGGGGUCGAUGACGGUACCGGAAGAAUAAGGACCGGCUAACUACGUGCCAGCAGCCGCGGUAAUACCCAGGGUCCAAGCGUUAAUCGGAAUUACUGGGCGUAAAGCGUGCGCAGGCGGUUGUGCAAGACCGAUGUGAAAUCCCCGAGCUUAACUUGGCAAUUGCAU
RNAcentral lists this ribosomal RNA (629 nucleotides) under uncultured bacterium. RNAcentral describes it as "bacterial SSU rRNA". It matches the Rfam family "Bacterial small subunit ribosomal RNA", at positions 8 to 626 of the family's 1533-position model. The record is from RNAcentral.